Molecule: unclassified non-coding RNA, 338 nt
Filed under: soil metagenome
Description: partial contains 5.8S ribosomal RNA, internal transcribed spacer 2, and large subunit ribosomal RNA
Rfam family: 5.8S ribosomal RNA (bases 1-120)
Source: RNAcentral
GAUGAAGAACGUAGCGAAAUGCGAUAAGUAGUGUGAAUUGCAGAAUUCAGGGAAUCAUCGAAUCUUUGAACGCACAUUGCGCCCUUUGGUAUUCCUUAGGGCAUGCCUGUUCGAGCGUCAUUUGAAACCUCAAGCUCAGCUUGGUGUUGGGUGUCUGUCCCCGCCUCACCGCGGGGACUCGCCUCAAAAUCAUUGGCGGCCGGUACGUUGGCUUCGAGCGCAGCAGAAACGCGAACUCGAGGCCCGGCGGAUCGGCGACCAGAAGUCACUUCUUCACAGUUUGACCUCGGAUCAGGUAGGGAUACCCGCUGAACUUAAGCAUAUCAAUAAGCGGAGGA